This 301-nucleotide ribosomal RNA is filed under the name uncultured bacterium. RNAcentral's name for it is "partial 16S ribosomal RNA". It matches the Rfam family "Bacterial small subunit ribosomal RNA", at positions 509 to 807 of the family's 1533-position model. The record is from RNAcentral.
CAGUAGCCAUGGGAAAACGUAGGGUGCAAGCGUUAAUCGGAAUUACUGGGCGUAAAGCGUGCGCAGGCGGUUAUAUAAGACAGAUGUGAAAUCCCCGGGCUCAACCUGGGAACUGCAUUUGUGACUGUAUAGCUAGAGUACGGCAGAGGGGGAUGGAAUUCCGCGUGUAGCAGUGAAAUGCGUAGAUAUGCGGAGGAACACCGAUGGCGAAGGCAAUCCCCUGGGCCUGUACUGACGCUCAUGCACGAAAGCGUGGGGAGCAAACAGGAUUAGAUACCCCAGUAGUCCCUGUCUCUUAUAC